Molecule: ribosomal RNA, 255 nt
Filed under: uncultured bacterium
Lineage: Bacteria
Description: partial 16S ribosomal RNA
Rfam family: Bacterial small subunit ribosomal RNA
Source: RNAcentral
GACGUAGGGCGCAAGCGUUUGUCCGGAUUUAUUGGGCGUAAAGAGCUCGUAGGUGGUUUGUCGCGUUGUUCGUGAAAACUCACAGCUUAACUGUGGGCGUGCGGGCGAUACGGGCAGACUGGAGUACUGCAGGGGAGACUGGAAUUCCUGGUGUAGCGGUGGAAUGCGCAGAUAUCAGGAGGAACACCGGUGGCGAAGGCGGGUCUCUGGGCAGUGAACUGACGCUGAGGAGCGAAAGCGUGGGGAGCGAACAGG